GUCUAUGGCCAUGCCACUCCGAACAAGUCUGAUCUCAGAAGCUAAGCAAGGUCGGGCCCGGUUAGUACUCGUAUUGGAGACCACAUAGGAAGACCAGGUGCUGUAAGAA
RNAcentral lists this ribosomal RNA (109 nucleotides) under Pteropus alecto (black flying fox). The record is from RNAcentral. Lineage: Eukaryota; Metazoa; Chordata; Mammalia; Chiroptera; Pteropodidae.